RNAcentral lists this ribosomal RNA (628 nucleotides) under Acarospora tianshanica. Its description in RNAcentral is "partial large subunit ribosomal RNA". It matches the Rfam family "Eukaryotic large subunit ribosomal RNA", at positions 22 to 665 of the family's 3401-position model. Lineage: Eukaryota; Fungi; Ascomycota; Lecanoromycetes; Acarosporales; Acarosporaceae. The record is from RNAcentral.
UACCCGCUGAACUUAAGCAUAUCAAUAAGCGGAGGAAAAGAAACCAACAGGGAUUGCCUCAGUAACGGCGAGUGAAGCGGCAACAGCUCAAAUUUGAAAUCUGGCUCUUUCAGAGUCCGAGUUGUAAUUUGCAGAGGAUGCUUCGGGUUCGGCUCCGGUCUAAGUUCCUUGGAACAGGACGUCAUAGAGGGUGAGAAUCCCGUAUGUGACUGGCCACCACGCCCAUGUGAAGCUCCUUCGACGAGUCGAGUUGUUUGGGAAUGCAGCUCAAAAUGGGUGGUAAAUUUCAUCUAAGGCUAAAUAUUGGCCAGAGACCGAUAGCGCACAAGUAGAGUGAUCGAAAGAUGAAAAGCACUUUGGAAAGAGAGUCAAACAGUACGUGAAAUUGUUGAAAGGGAAGCGCUUGCAACCAGACUUGCCCGCGGGUGAUCAGCCGGUAUUCUUACCGGUGCACUCGCCCGUGGUCAGGCCAGCAUCGGUUUGGGCGGCUGGAUAAAUUCCACCGGAAUGUAGCUCCUCUCGGGGAGUGUUAUAGCCGGAGGUGCCAUGCAGCCCGCCCGGACCGAGGACCGCGCUUCGGCUAGGAUGCUGGCGAAAUGGUUGUAAGCGACCCGUCUUGAAACACGGA